Molecule: ribosomal RNA, 532 nt
Filed under: uncultured organism
Description: bacterial SSU rRNA
Rfam family: Bacterial small subunit ribosomal RNA
Source: RNAcentral
GCGGCGUGCUUAACACAUGCAAGUCGAGCGAGAAGCCAAUGUUUGAUUCUUCGGAAGAUACUUUGGUGGAAAGCGGCGGACGGGUGAGUAACGCGUGGGCAACCUACCUUAUACAGGGGGACAACAUCGGGAAACCGGUGCUAAUACCGCAUAACACAUUGAAAUGGAAUCAUUAUGAUGUCAAAGGAGGAAUCCGGUAUAAGAUGGGCCCGCGUCCAAUUAGCUAGUUGGUGAGGUAACGGCUCACCAAGGCGACGAUUGGUAGCCGAACUGAGAGGUUGAUCGGCCACAUUGGGACUGAGACACGGCCCAGACUCCUACGGGAGGCAGCAGUGGGGAAUAUUGCACAAUGGGGGAAACCCUGAUGCAGCAACGCCGCGUGAAGGAUGAAGGUCUUCGGAUUGUAAACUUCUUUGAUUGGGGAAGACGAAGUGACGGUACCCAAAAAACAAGCCACGGCUAACUACGUGCCAGCAGCCGCGGUAAUACGUAGGUGGCAAGCGUUGUCCGGAAUUACUGGGUGUAAAGGGCG